GACGAACGCUGGCGGCGUGCUUAACACAUGCAAGUCGAACGAAAGGACGGGAAGAGCUUGCUCUUUCCGGAAUUGAGUGGCAAACGGGUGAGUAACACGUAAACAACCUGCCUUCAGGAUGGGGGACAACAGACGGAAACGACUGCUAAUACCGAAUAAGUUCCAAGAGCCGCAUGGCCCAUGGAAGAAAAGGUGGCCUCUACCUGUAAGCUAUCGCCUGAAGAGGGGUUUGCGUCUGAUUAGCUGGUUGGAGGGGGUAACGGCCCACCAAGGCGACGAUCAGUAGCCGGUCUGAAAGGAUGAACGGCCACACUGGAACUGAGACACGGCCCAGACUCCUACGGGAGGCAGCAGUGGGGAAUAUUGCACAAUGGGGGAAACCCUGAUGCAGCGACGCCGCGUGGAGGAAGAAGGGUCUUCGGAUUGUAAACUCCUAGUUGUUGAGGAAGAUAAUGACGGUACU
This 463-nucleotide ribosomal RNA is filed under the name uncultured bacterium. RNAcentral describes it as "bacterial SSU rRNA". It matches the Rfam family "Bacterial small subunit ribosomal RNA", at positions 28 to 479 of the family's 1533-position model. The record is from RNAcentral.